This 76-nucleotide transfer RNA is filed under the name Paxillus rubicundulus Ve08.2h10. Its description in RNAcentral is "tRNA-Ser". The stretch from base 5 to 68 matches the Rfam family "tRNA", at positions 5 to 66 of the family's 71-position model. Rfam says of the family: Transfer RNA (tRNA) molecules are approximately 80 nucleotides in length. Their secondary structure includes four short double-helical elements and three loops (D, anti-codon, and T loops). Lineage: Eukaryota; Fungi; Basidiomycota; Agaricomycetes; Boletales; Paxillaceae. The record is from RNAcentral.
GGACUGGUAGCUCAGUUGGAAGAGCGCCACUGUACUACACUGGAGGCCAUGGGUUCAAUCCCUGUCCAUGGGUUCA